RNAcentral lists this transfer RNA (74 nucleotides) under Candidatus Terrybacteria bacterium RIFCSPHIGHO2_01_FULL_43_35. RNAcentral describes it as "tRNA-Ala". It matches the Rfam family "tRNA". From Rfam's summary of the family: Transfer RNA (tRNA) molecules are approximately 80 nucleotides in length. Their secondary structure includes four short double-helical elements and three loops (D, anti-codon, and T loops). RNAcentral also lists the same sequence under 2 other names. Lineage: Bacteria; Candidatus Terryibacteriota. The record is from RNAcentral.
GGGGAUAUAGUAAAGUGGUAUUACGGCGCAUUCGCAUUGCGCAGGCCCGGGUUCGAUUCCCGGUAUCUCCACCA